Molecule: ribosomal RNA, 440 nt
Filed under: uncultured bacterium
Lineage: Bacteria
Description: bacterial SSU rRNA
Rfam family: Bacterial small subunit ribosomal RNA
Source: RNAcentral
AACGCGAAGAACCUUACCUACCCUUGACAUCCUAGGAAGACUGCAGAGAUGCGGUUGUGCCGAAAGGAACCUAGAGACAGGUGCUGCAUGGCUGUCGUCAGCUCGUGUUGUGAGAUGUUGGGUUAAGUCCCGUAACGAGCGCAACCCUUAUCCUUAGUUACCAGCACGUUAUGGUGGGCACUCUAAGGAGACUGCCGGUGAUGAACCGGAGGAAGGCGGGGACGACGUCAAGUCAUCAUGGCCUUUAUGGGUAGGGCUACACACGUGCUACAAUGGACAGUACAGAGGGCGGCCAACCCGCGAGGGGGAGCCAAUCCCAGAAAGCUGUUCGUAGUCCGGAUCGGAGUCUGCAACUCGACUCCGUGAAGUCGGAAUCGCUAGUAAUCGCGAAUCAGAAUGUCGCGGUGAAUACGUUCCCGGGCCUUGUACACACCGCAUAC